This 343-nucleotide ribosomal RNA is filed under the name uncultured Methanosaeta sp. RNAcentral describes it as "bacterial SSU rRNA". It matches the Rfam family "Archaeal small subunit ribosomal RNA", at positions 996 to 1338 of the family's 1478-position model. Lineage: Archaea; Methanobacteriati; Methanobacteriota; Methanomicrobia; Methanotrichales; Methanotrichaceae. The record is from RNAcentral.
GGCCGUCGUCAGUUCGUACUGUGAAGCAUCCUGUUAAGUCAGGCAACGAGCGAGACCCACGCCCACAGUUGCCAGCGUACUCUCUGGAGUGACGGGUACACUGUGGGGACCGCCGCUGCUAAAGCGGAGGAAGGAAUGGGCAACGGUAGGUCAGUAUGCCCCGAAUAUCCCGGGCUACACGCGAGCUACAAUGGUUGGUACAAUGGGUAUCUACCCCGAAAGGGGACGGGAAUCUCCUAAAACCAAUCUUAGUUCGGAUUGAGGGCUGCAACUCGCCCUCAUGAAGCUGGAAUCCGUAGUAAUCGCGUUUCAACAGAACGCGGUGAAUACGUCCCUGCUCCUU